Molecule: transfer RNA, 67 nt
Filed under: Schedorhinotermes sp. 4 MW-2019
Lineage: Eukaryota; Metazoa; Arthropoda; Insecta; Blattodea; Rhinotermitidae
Description: tRNA-His
Source: RNAcentral
AUCUAAAUAGUUUAAUUAAAAUGUUGAUCUGUGGUGUCGAUGAUGAGGUUAAUUGCUUCUUUGGAUU